Molecule: ribosomal RNA, 253 nt
Filed under: uncultured bacterium
Lineage: Bacteria
Description: partial 16S ribosomal RNA
Rfam family: Bacterial small subunit ribosomal RNA
Source: RNAcentral
UACGUAGGGCGCAAGCGUUGUCCGGAAUUAUUGGGCGUAAAGAGCUCGUAGGCGGUCUGUUACGUCCGCUGUGAAAACCCAGGGCUUAACCCUGGGCUUGCAGUGGAUACGGGUAGACUAGAGGCAGGUAGGGGAGAAUGGAAUUCCCGGUGUAGCGGUGAAAUGCGCAGAUAUCGGGAGGAACACUGGUGGCGAAGGCGGUUCUCUGGGCCUGACCUGACGCUGAGGAGCGAAAGCGUGGGGAGCGAACAGG